GCCCUCGUAAUCCAACCGGCAGAGAUAGGCGACUCAAAAUCGUCCCAGUGUGGGUUCGACUCCCACCGAGGGCACCA
This 77-nucleotide transfer RNA is filed under the name Candidatus Nanopelagicales bacterium. RNAcentral's name for it is "tRNA-Leu". It matches the Rfam family "tRNA". Rfam says of the family: Transfer RNA (tRNA) molecules are approximately 80 nucleotides in length. Lineage: Bacteria; Bacillati; Actinomycetota; Actinomycetes; Candidatus Nanopelagicales. The record is from RNAcentral.